GGUCCUUGGGGUUAUGGUAAGGGAUCUGNCCUGCUYGAUGAUUUUGUUUAAAUGGCCGCGGUAUAUUGACCGUGCAAAGGUAGCAUAAUAAUUAGUCUUUUAAUUGAGGUCUGGAAUGAAUGGUUGGACAAGGGAGUGGCUGUCUUGGGGCUAAUAGGUGACGUAAUUUUAUUUUUAAGUGAAAAAGCUUAGAUUGUCUUGGGGGACGAUAAGACCCUAUAGAUCUUUAUUCUUUCUUUUGCGUUGUGGUGAUGGGGAGAAUUGCGUUGGGGUGACGGGGAGAAAUGAUUAACUCUCUUAUGAGCAGGUUUGUUGGUAGGCAUGAAGUGUGGGUGAUCCAGUGUUAUUGAUUAUUAGAUUAAGUUACCUUAGGGAUAACAGCGUAAUUUCUUUUGAGAGUUCUAAUCGACAGGGGAGGUUGCGACCUCGAUGUUGGAUUAAGGGUUACCUGGUGGUGCAGAAGCUG
This 466-nucleotide ribosomal RNA is filed under the name Cubacubana mexicana. RNAcentral's name for it is "partial 16S ribosomal RNA". It matches the Rfam family "Bacterial large subunit ribosomal RNA", at positions 1828 to 2564 of the family's 2925-position model. The record is from RNAcentral. Lineage: Eukaryota; Metazoa; Arthropoda; Insecta; Zygentoma; Nicoletiidae.